UGGGGAAUAUUGCACAAUGGGCGCAAGCCUGAUGCAGCCAUGCCGCGUGUAUGAAGAAGGCCUUCGGGUUGUAAAGUACUUUCAGCGGGGAGGAAGGCGAUAAGGUUAAUAACCUUGUCGAUUGACGUUACCCGCAGAAGAAGCACCGGCUAACUCCGUGCCAGCAGCCGCGGUAAUACGGAGGGUGCAAGCGUUAAUCGGAAUUACUGGGCGUAAAGCGCACGCAGGCGGUCUGUCAAGUCGGAUGUGAAAUCCCCGGGCUCAACCUGGGAACUGCAUUCGAAACUGGCAGGCUAGAGUCUUGUAGAGGGGGGUAGAAUUCCAGGUGUAGCGGUGAAAUGCGUAGAGAUCUGGAGGAAUACCGGUGGCGAAGGCGGCCCCCUGGACAAAGACCGACGCUCAGGUGCGAAAGCGUGGGGAGCAAACA
Molecule: ribosomal RNA, 427 nt
Filed under: uncultured bacterium
Lineage: Bacteria
Description: partial 16S ribosomal RNA
Rfam family: Bacterial small subunit ribosomal RNA
Source: RNAcentral